Transfer RNA from Cavia porcellus (domestic guinea pig), 64 nucleotides. It matches the Rfam family "tRNA". Rfam says of the family: Transfer RNA (tRNA) molecules are approximately 80 nucleotides in length. Their secondary structure includes four short double-helical elements and three loops (D, anti-codon, and T loops). The record is from Rfam. NCBI's taxonomy places the organism in Eukaryota, Metazoa, Chordata, Mammalia, Rodentia, Caviidae.
GGGGAUUUAGCUCAGCGGCAUAAGCACCUGCCUUGAAAGCAGGCAGUCGUGAGUUUGAUCCCCG